This 445-nucleotide ribosomal RNA is filed under the name Vertigo elatior. Its description in RNAcentral is "partial 16S ribosomal RNA". It matches the Rfam family "Archaeal large subunit ribosomal RNA", at positions 1908 to 2666 of the family's 2987-position model. The record is from RNAcentral. Lineage: Eukaryota; Metazoa; Mollusca; Gastropoda; Stylommatophora; Vertiginidae.
UAGCUUUAAGAAAAUUAUUUAAGGUUUUACCUGCCCAGUGAAAAUUUUAACGGCCGCAGUACUUUGACUGUGCUAAGGUAGCAUAAUAAAUUGGCUUUUAAUUAAAGUCGGGUAUGAAAGGGAUCACGGAAAGUAACUGUCUCAAGUAUAUAUAAUUUUAAUUUAAUCAAUGGGUGAAAAUUCCCAUAGUAAUUUAUAUUAGACGAGAAGACCCUAAGAGUUAUAAUUAAGAUGAAUUUAUUUUCAUGUAUCAUUUUUGUUGGGGCAACAUAGACUGGAUUAAACCGUCAUAAAUUAAUUUUACAUAACAGUUAUAUUUAAAAAGAAAUAAACUACCUUAGGGAUAACAGCAUAAUUAAUUUUUAGAUUGUGACCUCGAUGUUGGAUUAAGGACUUUGUUUACUAGCCGUAAACCAAGAUAGUUCUGUUCGAACUGUAAUACCUU